RNAcentral lists this long non-coding RNA (5011 nucleotides) under Pan troglodytes (chimpanzee). RNAcentral's name for it is "long non-coding RNA NONPTRT005920". Lineage: Eukaryota; Metazoa; Chordata; Mammalia; Primates; Hominidae. The record is from RNAcentral.
CUACUCAGGUGGCUGAAGGAGGAUCACUUGAUCCCACGAGGUUAAGGCUGCAGGGCAACAAAGCGAGACCUUGUCUCAAAAACACAAACAAAAAACACCUCUAUAGCAGGAAUGAGCCAGGGACUGUGGACAGUGUGCCCCGAGGCCCGUCCUCUCUUCCCACAGCUGAUGGGGAUGAGGUGUAACUCACACAUCCUAAAAGCUUCAACAGGGCACUGGAGUGCCGCUGACCAAGUUACUGGCAUUUUCUAUUGCCAGGAAGCCGCAUUCUCCUCCCUGCUAAGCUUUCUCAUGCUAGAGAAUGAUGACUAAAAAAUAGAUGAUCCCAUCCUCUUAUUCACCAUCCCCUAAAAAAACAGAGUGCCACGUGGAAUGUGUCAGCCUCACCUGGGGGAGACACCCUUAUCUGAAGACUUAAAAGGAAAAACUUGGUGAGCCAGCCUCCACACAAACACACGCAUAGCCUUGCACAAAACAAAAAUUUAUUGGGAGAAAGAUGGCUGAUGGGAGGCAAGAUCUGGAUUCAGGAAUCCUCAAUUUUAGCUCUCGCUCUGUCACCAAAAACCUCCGUCCCUCCCAGAGCCUCCAGGAGUUUCCCCUUCUGUAAACCGGUAUCGCGUCCCUUCCAGCUCUGACAUCCUGCAGUUCUAGAAUACCCAUUGAUUGAAAGAGCUGUGGCCAAACAGGAAGGACAGAGCAAGAGCCGCUGACAAAGGAUUCUGCCAAGACAGAAUCCCAAGGUCACCCCUGAAUAGCAGAAUGCAAUCCCCCAGCUCACUGCCGGCCAGAGCCUGCCAGUGCACCAGCACACAGGGUCACAGCAAUGCCACCAUGCCAAGGCGAGGACAGAGCGGGAGAGAGGCUUGGGGCAGUGAAAGAGCCCUCUCGGGUCUUGGCUUUGGAAGUGUGGACUGUACCAGCAGAUGGGCCCUUGGGAAGCCACCAGGGAACAAUUCAAGGCUGGAGAGAAAAAGGCCACCUUUGACCCAGCAGAAGGCAGAGGCGGGAGAGGAGGGUGAGGACGUACAAGGAGCAUCAGGAGCAUCGAGGAAGUACAAGGAGCAUCGCAGGCGAGGAAACAAUGGCCAGGACCUAACUGUGGUGGGAACUGCCUUUGUCUCCACACACUCGCAAUCAACAUGCGUAUUUGCUAUUUUCAAACAAACAACUCCCUUCCACCCCCUUAAGGCUGAAAGGACAAACUCAUCAGAGUUGAGGAGUACCUACCUGAUGAAGCUGUUCAUGCUUCCAGCAUCAAACUGGACGUUUACUGUCUGCCCAAAAGCCAGUUUCCAAAAGGUUUGCUUCCCUCUGUUGAGUGGAUUCUUGACUACGUAUAGGUCAUAUAUUUCAAAAAAUAAUGCCUAGCUAUUUCUACUUUUAAAUCAUGACUAAAGCCAAACCACAAUCACAGCAAAGAUAACCUAAGGAUUUGUUUACCAGAAAUACCUACAAAAAAGUUUGCAGGCCGGGCGCGAUGGCUCACACUUGUAAUCCCAGCACUUUGAGAGGCUGAGAUGGGCAGAUCACAUGAGGUCAGGGGUUCAAGACCAUCCUGCCCAAUAUGAUGAAACCUGGUCUCCACUAAAAAUACAAAAAUUAACCAGGUGUGGUGGCUGUAAUCCCAGCUACUCAGGAGACUGAGGCGGAAUUGCCAGAACCCUGGAGGGCAGAGGUGGCAGUAAGCUGAGAUCGGGCCACUGCACUCCAGCCUAGGUGACAGAAUGAGACUCAGUCUCCCACCCUGCCAAAAAGUUUGCAAUGUCGGCAGCAAAGUGCAAACAGAGCCGGCUCUGGGUGAAAGCUUUAGUUAUGAAAAAUAAGAAAAAAAAAAUCCCUAAGCAUUUCUUAACACUAGUUUUAAAAAAAACCCCUCUCCAAAGGUAUGUUUCUCCUUCAACUUUCUUGAGUUUGCCAGGCUGUCAGGAUGCAAGCUACCUACUCUUUUCUGGAUGGAUCAGGACAAAGUUUUUAAACAAAGACUCUGUCCUCUCCACAAGCCCUUCCCACCACCACCCCCCCCCCCACCCCCCGCCGCCAUAAUUACAGGGGCUGUGAAAUGGCUGUUGAGUGAUGGUGACACAACCAGAAGGCAGAUGAAAAGGUCAGGCUCUAAGAGGGGUUCAGCCUCCCAGUACCAGCCUGCUGUGCCCAGGUGUGGGAGUGCUGGGAGAACUGUCUUCCCCAGACAGGCAGCUAUGCCGCCUCCCACUGCAAAGGCACCAGAAGGCAACAUCCGUCCAAUCCAAAGACCGCCACCCCUGCCUUUUCCCACCCACUUCAAGCCAGCUCCCCUACAACCAACCAAGCCAAGAAUUAGAAAACUGCUUUGCCCAGGCCCCAGGAGAGGCGCAAGGGGCACUUAGGUGGAAAUUUGCCUUGGAGAAGUCACGCAAGGUCCCUGUCAGCUGCCAGGGGGCCAGAUCUGGGAAUCUGGGGCCUCCAGCUCCAGGAGGAAGAGGGAUUCUGUGGGUUGAGCCCAUGUGUCUGAGCAGCUGGAGAAAUACCACCCUUGAUCCACGCCCUGGGAUGGGGUUGGAACCUCCACUCAGCCACCAGUGGGCACCUCUCCUUUUUAAAUGCUUUUAAUGCUCUUCAGAUGGGGAGAGGUUGUUGCAAUGGUCAUAGGCUGUGCUGAUGGCCGGGAACACCCCACACCUGCCCCCCAUACCCCUUCCUCCAGGAGAUACUUGAAAGGGACCAUGCCCGGCUGAAGCCCCGUCUCGUGUGGAAGAAUGUCAUCUCCAGUGUCUGCUGCCUCCUCCCCGCAAAGUCUCCCACAAGCACAGGACAAGGGGUGCUUCCACCAUCUCCUAGGAGCUGAUGACAUGUCCAGACCAGGUCUCAUGCUUGGUGCCUGGUGCCAGGGCCAAGGAAGCGCCCACCCCAGCCAGGCCACCCAGACCCGCUGCUGACUCACUCAGAGAUGUGCAGGAAGAUGUCGGGGCCGCCAUCAGCUGGGGUAAUGAAGCCGUGGCCCUUGGACCGGCAGAAGCAUUUGCAGACUCCUUUGUAGACGGGGCCCUGUGAAGCCCGCACCGUCCUGACAGAGAGGGGGAAAUGUCAGGGGCCCCAUCAGCGCUCCUGGGCACACACAGCUCAUUCCAGCCCCUGCCCACAGCUGUGCCCCAUCAAGCCCUAGCCAGGACCGCCAUGUACAGUCACACAGGCUGAGGACUGCACAACCCUCAACCCUGGGAGCCGCUCACAAAGAUGCUGGGGGAAAGGACUCUUUGGAUGACCCUGGCAAAUUUUCUCGGGCCUGUUUUCCCUCCUGGAAAGAGGGAGUUGAACUAAAACAUCACUGAACAUCCCUCCAGAAACUAAUGAUUUACUAUUAAUAACACAAGCAUCCUCCACUCGCAGGGCCUGAGACCUGCAUCUGCCAGGCAUCGUGUGGGUCCUUCGCAGCCCUGGUGCUGUGCCCAUUUUGCAGCUGCAGAAUUCACAGUCUUACAGGGAAACAGACUCUCAUGUGUGGUUAAAGCCCAGCGAUUCUGACCUCAGCAAUUGCCCACCCAUUGCCACUCCCAGCUGGUAACAGGUUCUUUUGGGCUAGGCAGUACCCUGAAUUUACAAGGCGCCUUCCUAGUUUCUCACCCUCAGCCCAGCCCCAGGUCUGCCUAUUUGACAGUCCGGGACAUAGGCCCAAAAAUGACCAGAGACACAGUGAAUCUCUGGCCUCAGGCAAGAGAUCCAUCUGAGAACGCGUCCCCUGCCCGCUCCAGACUCACGCCGAGAAGGUCCUCGUCCGGCGAGUGGGCAGUGGGCUUGGGACCACGUUGCCCCGCAGAGGGGAUGGUGAGCGCUCACGGCUCCGAGGGGUGUCCAGCAGCCCGACUGAAGCUUGAUGGGUGGGGGGCUGUGGUGGUGGGGGAGGCUCAGAUGACAUGGCUGACCUGGAAGGAGAAGAGGCUGUCAGGGGCUCGUGCCUUGCAAGGUAGGGACCCUGUGCUUACCCCCAUGUCCACGUCUGACAGUCCAGUAUCUGAGGCUCAUUCCUCUCGGGCACCUCAGCACCAUUGUCACCUUGUCUGGGAGCACGCCUGGCGAGGUCACAUGCCUACUCCGGGCUCCUGAAGCAACCGUGGGGCCCCCUCGAUCAUAGCUCUUCAUGAAAAUACCACAUCCUCCCCCAUGACCAGGAUGGCAUCGGUCCCCUCUGUGUCCCCAACACAAGGCAUGGAUGCCGGCACACUUGGGACACAUAGUAUUGUGGGAGGGAAAAACGCAGAUGAGGAAGGUGAGCAGAAAACCCAAAGCCAGGGGCCAGGCACAGUGGCUCACACCUGCAAUCCCAGCACUCUGGGAGGCCGAGGCAGGCGGAUCACUUAAUGUCAGGAGUUCGAGACUAGCCUGGCCAACAUGUGGAAACCCAGUCUCUAAUACGAAUACAAAAAUUAGCUGGGCAUGGCGGCAGGCACCUGUAAUCCCAUCUACUUGAAGGCUGAGACAUGAGAAUUGCUUGAACCUGGGAGGCGGAAGUUCCAGUGAGCUGAGAUCACACCACUGCACUCCAGCCUGGGCUACAGAGCAAGACUCUGUCUCAAAAAAGAAAACCCAAAGCCAGGGAGAUUUUAAUGCCAACCACCUAGAUCCAAACUCAGCCACUCCACGGACCCUCCCUGACGCUGCUGGGAGCCAGACACCACAGGGAAGCAGGGGCAAAAACUGACCCUCACGCGGCAUCUGCCUCCAGGGAACUGUGGAACACAUCGCAGAGAGCUCAGGGGCCACGUUUGGAUCCCUGAGCAGCCGUCACAAGCCUGCACCCAGGACUGGGGGGCCUGCUGUGGGAGCCCAAAGGGAAAGGGAGAAUUUCCAAGGCUGCAUCCAGCUCCAUCAGGCCCAGUGAAUUUCCACACAGCCCGGGUCGCCGCGCUGCUAUGAAAUCAAAUUCCUUCUGUGACCCCUAGUAUGUACCCGUAAAUCCAGCUGGAGGGCUGGAGGGAAUUCCCUAGCUGCUGCUGUGCUUUUGACAAUUUUUCAAGAGCAGGACACUCGCUGUACA